Molecule: ribosomal RNA, 507 nt
Filed under: uncultured Brevundimonas sp.
Lineage: Bacteria; Pseudomonadati; Pseudomonadota; Alphaproteobacteria; Caulobacterales; Caulobacteraceae
Description: bacterial SSU rRNA
Rfam family: Bacterial small subunit ribosomal RNA
Source: RNAcentral
AGGCCUAACACAUGCAAGUCGAACGAACUNCUUCGGAGUUAGUGGCGGACGGGUGAGUAACACGUGGGAACGUGCCUUUUGGUUCGGAAUAACUCAGGGAAACUUGUGCUAAUACCGAAUGUGCCCUUCGGGGGAAAGAGUUAUCGCCAUUAGAGCGGCCCGCGUCUGAUUAGCUAGUUGGUGAGGUAAAAGCUCACCAAGGCGACGAUCAGUAGCUGGUCUGAGAGGAUGACCAGCCACACUGGGACUGAGACACGGCCCAGACUCCUACGGGAGGCAGCAGUGGGGAAUCUUGCGCAAUGGGCGAAAGCCUGACGCAGCCAUGCCGCGUGAAUGAUGAAGGUCUUAGGAUUGUAAAAUUCUUUCACCGGGGACGAUAAUGACGGUACCCGGAGAAGAAGCCCCGGCUAACUUCGUGCCAGCAGCCGCGGUAAUACGAAGGGGGCUAGCGUUGCUCGGAAUUACUGGGCGUAAAGGGCGCGUAGGCGGAUCGUUAAGUCAGAGGUG